UCAAAUCCAACUGCUUUCAGAGCAAGGAUUCUUGAUGGGAGCUUAUAUUUUGACAUAAAAAUUUGAGGGGCUGCAAGUAUAAGGUAAUUUUAUCCUUCUUUUGCAGGCUGAAUAUUACCAUAUUACAAGUUUGUGGUAUUCACACUGUAAAAAUACCACUAAUCAUGAUAAACUUGAUCUGGUCUUAACUCACCAUAACUCUGUUAAACUUAACGACCACAUGAACUUGAAUAUUCUAUUUGAGAAAUUAAAAUCUCUCGGCUAGGACUUUCUGCUGUGGUACAACGGGAUCAGCAGCAUCUUGGGAGCGCUGGGAUGCAGGUUCAGUCCCUGGCUCGGCACAGUGAGUUAUAAGGAUCCAGCAUUGCUGCAGCUGUGGCUUAGGUCGCAGCUAUGACUUGGAUCUGAUCCCUGGUCCAGGAACUCCAUAUGCCAUGGGGGGGGCCAAAAAAGAAAAAAAAAAAAUCUCUUGUUUAUAAAUUACUUUGUUAAAUAAUAUUUAUAUCUUGCACUUCACUUCCUUAAUAAACCUAUGAUUGUCAUUGCUAAGGGUUUUUAUUUCUUUGUGUUGCAGAUACCUUAGGUGUCAAUUCUUAUGGUAAUGAUUUAAAAAGAUUGGCCAAGCAGAUUUAAAACUUUAAUCAGAAUUUUUUUUUUUUUUUGGCCAUGCCUGUGGCAUGUGGAAGUUCCUGGGCCAGGGAUCAAACCUAUGCCACAGCUCUAACCCAAGCCACAGCAGUGACAAUGCCAGGUCCUUAAUCCACUAGGCUACCAGGGAACUCUAAUCAGAAUAUUUAAACAUGCAUGUUCUUAUAAAGAAAAUUGUCUUGUAGAGUAUUCCUAAAAAUUCUUCUGAAUUCAGUUCUAUUGAAAAUCAUUUAAAAGAUGUAUAUCUUCUUUACAGUAAUAAAUAUUACAUUCCUUUUUGUAUUUUAAUAUUUUGUUGCUCACUCAGGGUCAUACCCUGCUCAUUAUUUGUCUGUGUCAGGUGAUGAAGAUAUUCAACUGAAUGUGUGGUGAUCACAGGACAAAUGAUAGCGGUGUCUUGUGGCAUUAUAUUUUGGUAGCUGAGUUUGGGCUUUACAGCCAGACCCCUGGAGUUCAAAUUCCUUCCUAAUUACAUGAUCUUGAGCAAGUUACUUUAUUGCUUUGUGCCUCAAAUUCCCCAUUUGUAAAAUGAAUUGUUGAAAGCCUUUAAUGAGUUAAUACAUAUAAAAUGUUUAGAAAUGUGCCUGGUGUGUAGAAAGUACACAAUAGGUCUCUUUCAACAGAAUAAUUGAUUUGUUAAGUUAUAUGCCUAAUUUAUCAAGAAUCUCACAUAGUUAUACCUCAAUUAAUAUUUUUUGAAUAAUAAAUGUCACUAAUGAUAUUGUUUAUGGAGUACAAAAUACAUUUGCAUUUUACUCUGAAAAUUAGAAGUUCUAAUAGCUGUGUUAUUGUGUUUUCUGGGAUAUCAGUAACUUUAGGAUAGAUGUUCAUUUGGAAAAUAAAUGAACCAGAUACCCUUAAUACAACUCUAUCAUAUAAGGCUGUGGUGCUUGAAAUCUAAAUGUUGCUGCCACUAUUGCUUGCCCAGUGAGAAGACCUUGAAAUAUUAGUUACAGUUUUUUAAAGAGUGAAUAGGUCCAGUAGACUUCAACAAUUCUCUCUCUUCUGCAAAUCCACUCCCUUUAAGAUUUUAGUUUUAGAUUGACAAUAAAAGGAAGUUAAUUUGUUACAGUAUACUGAUGUCAGAAUAAGUCGCUAAGCCCUUUCCACUUAUCUUUCAUUUCCUUUAACUUUUUUUACACCAUAUAAAGAAAUCACACAACACAUUUGGUUUUGUGAACUUUGGUAUCUAUUUUUAUCCCACUUGUGCUUAAUAUAUGCUAUUGAUGUUCAGUAAUUGUGUUGAAUGAAUUAACUAGCAUGACAGAAGAUUCAGUCUUUGGCCAAAUUAUGUCUUCAUUUGUUUACAGAGCCUUGCAGAGCCAGUAAGGCAGCAGAAGAGAGCAAAUUGGGUGGGUGGCAAAGGAAGCCAUGGAGAUUGUGGUCAUCUGACUCUGAAGGGUGGAUUAAACACCAGCCAGAGUUUCUGACCUCUGCUGUGGGUAGGAAAGGCGUCUGCCAGAGACUAAUAAAUAGAUACUUCACAUGAAUGAUUGAAAUCCUUAGUAUUCUAGACUAUUUCUGUUUUUCCAGUUCAGUGGGUGUCAUGAUUCCAUAAAACAAAUAAAUAUACAUACACACAUAUCUACCCCCUAUAUGCUGAUACACAUAUAAAAUAGUUUUCCCUGGAAGAAAGUUGGUUUAACAUAGGUCACUUGUCCAGUAUCUGUUCGUUUGCUUUCUGUUUGUGGAGAAUUGACGGAACUUUAGAAGCGCUUGCAAAAACAACUUUGUUCAAAAUUUACAAGCAAUCAGAGGAGCUUUAUCAUUUCUCUUAGUGAUAGACUUUGAAUAACUUUUUCUAAUUAGAACAAAAGCAAAAGUUAAAUAUUCCCAAGAAAGUAUUGGCCAAUUUAUAAAAUGCAUGUAUGGCCCUCUUGCCGCUGGCGGGACCUCCUGCUCGGCUUUCUCUGCCUGCUGGCCCGAUUUCAGAACAAACUGGGAAAAAGCACCUAGAAAAAUGAUGGUCCACUUUUAAGUUCUGAUUGCUAGGAUGGCAGCCGAUGUCCCACGAGUAAAAGGCUUCAAGGCAUUGGACCGCUUUCCCUGGACUUUCUCAAAAUCUAACUUAUUUUAUUCUCUCUGUACAUUCAGGUAUGUUUGCAUUAUGGUUUCCUAAGUCUUGAUCACUUCUCCUGUUGUGAAGCCUUGGCAUAAACUCCAUACAUCUGUAGUGAGAAAGUCAACUUAGCCUUUUUCUUUCUUCCCAGCUGCUCUUGACGUUUAACCUCUUCCCUGAAACUUGAGAACAUGCCUCCCCCAACAACCCUCUCUUCCCACUCCUAGCCUAAUCCUUUGCUUAUGCACAAUGUUACUCUUACUCCGUGUAUAUUAUUAUUUAAUGUUGACACCUUUGUCUUUUCAUUUUAUAUCUGUGUGAAUACAGUCAUUUGCUCUUUGAGGGCAGGGACCAUAAUUUUUGAUUUGCGGUGUUGAUAGAUACUUACGUAGUAAAUGGCUGUUGAUAGGGUGUAAAAUGCACUGGGAUUUUGAAGCUGAUCAGAGAUAGUUUGAAUCCUCCUGUAAAUUAUUUGCGAAAUGCACAGAUUCUUUUUUACUGAUAGCUAAACUAUCAACAAAAUGGACCAAUCUCAGGAUUGAUGACCUAUUCAUAAAAUGCUGCAGAUCAAUUUGAAAAAUAAUUAUUGGAAGAGGAAAAAAGGGUGUUUGGGAGCAAAUCGAGUAACCUUGUUUUUCUAAGGUAUUUGAUUAGAAGAAUUGUGCAGAGAAAAUUGUUAAUGUUUAGACUGAUUUAUGUUUCUUCUUUCUAACUGUUCUUUGGUGCUCAAAAAUAACUGUUGGGCAGGUUUUCUUGAUCUCUCUUUAUCUUCUCCUGGUUCACGUCUGUUAUCAAGGCAGUCUGAUUACAUGCCCCAAGCAUGCUCCUUUGAUGUGUCAUUAUCUAAUUCGAUGUGGGAGGAACUUGCAUUGUUUAUUUUUCUUGAAAGUUGCUCACUGUUUAUUAUGUUAUGACUGCAAGGCUUUUCUGCACAAGAGCUUUUUGGGUCUGAAGAUCAGAUUUCAAAGCGAAAAGUGUUUUGUGUCCCUCUAAAUGGAGAGGAUUUGUAUGGUAUUUUUAAAAUUCAGACAUUCUUAAGGAAUCUGUUUAAAUGGUGGCUAAUUCUACUGCAGUAGAAGCAUUAGCAUUCAUUUGAUAUGUAUUGAAUUAAAUUAAAAAGUAUAUAUUUCUUAAAGUAUACUCUAAUAAUUUUUAACUGCAUUACAAAUAUCAUUUAACGUUUUGGAGUAAUGCUCAAUAGUAUUGCACAAAAGCUUAGAAGCAAGUUUAGUGCUACCUACCAAUUUCCAAAUAAUUUUUGAUCACUAGUAUUAAAGCAGUAAGCCUUUUAAAAUACAAAGUGUUCUUGUAAUCACUUUACCUCAUUGAAUAUCUCAUUCUUAGCAAAUGCUUUGUUUUCCUCAUCUUUUUGCAGUUUUUCUUAGUUUAUUUCAUUUAUCUUUUAUGUAAAUAGACCCAAACUGCCUUGCGUUGAAGGAAGAAGCUGAAUGGCGUAGGAGGAAUUUUGUGCGUGGUGGAAUUUAACCUCAGUUUAUGUCUCUCCCCUGCACAGUCCCUUCAGUCUGAAUAUGUUCCCUACUAAGGCCUUUGCCACUCCGGUGAAAGCUGUUCCACUCUUGGACACAGUUUCUUCGUCUGGACGAGCAAAGUAGAGAGAAAGAAAACAACUGCGUGUCGGAAGACUGUCUCUGCCUCCUUACCUUAACUUAAAGCGAGCACUAAGAUAAGACCUUCAGGAGACUUGAAACCAGAAAGCCCUGCUUAAUGACUACUAUAAAUGCACUGAAACAAUGUUUAUGGAGAUGUCAACUCUUUUUAAGACAGUUUUCAUGCUGAAUUUGGUAUUUGGAAAGGUUAUUUUUAAUGUAUUUCGGUAAUACAUUUGUUACUACAUUUACGUGUACAGUGUUACAGUAUGUAUGUAUUGUGAACUUUAAAAGACUAUUUUGAUACAUUUAUAAAUAUAUAAAAUUAUGUAAAAAUGAGACUCUAUUUUGACUUAGAUUUUCUUGCUGUUUGCUACCAAAAUUUGUAUUUUGAAUCUGUUAAGUAUGGUUUUAUGUACAAUGAAUAAGUAAUUCUCUUUAUUAAGGAAAAGUAAGGGAGACCGUUUUUAGAACGUGCUUUUCAUGUUCCCACUCUGAAGAUGGCAGAUCCGUUCAUUCUUUUGGGAAGUCAGUGUAACUUACCAAGUUUAUCCAAGUUUAUGGCCGGGGAGAGUGUAGUCUUCUGAGGUGGCUUCUUUAGGCCAUGUCCUUUCCCUUUGUUUUUGUUGCUGAGCCAUUUGGUUUUGCAUCUUUGGGGGCUUUCAUAAAAUUUAACAUCCAGCUGCAGAUCAGAAGUCACUGAAUAUUUUUUUCUCUGUGAAAGCACGAUAUUUCUCUAUGAAAUGACUCAAGAGUCCAAAUGCUUUUCUUUCUUUCCUCCUCUCAGAAGAAAUUCUUAACCCAUUUAGAAUAUUCAGAUUUUGGUACGAGGUUUUUGCCUGUAUUCACACGUGGUCUGGCACCAGUUUUCAAUCAAGGAAGAGGACAAAAUCUGAAAAAAGAUGCUGCUAAGUAGUUCUAUGUAUUAAAGGAAAGAAGUUUAAAAUAGAUAACUAACGACACGCAAGCUAGCAUGUCUGAAACCUAACAUGAAAAUGAAGGGGCUCAUAGGUACCUCACAGCCCUUUCAUGCAAGUGUAACCUUAUAUUUAGGCUCCAAAAGCCUAUAAGCUUCUUUCCCAUGGGGAGCUGGGGAGUCUUAGACCCUAAUUGUCUUCCACGCUGCUUAAGAAUGGACUUCUCAGAGACAGUCAAAUGGAUUCAUAUGAAGUGCUUUACUCUCAACCAUUGAAUUAUUUAUAGUGUAUUUAUUAGAAGGGGUACCUUGAGACUGUCGUACAUGGCUUCAGCAAAACAUCUUGUUUAUAUUUUAUAUUUUAAAAAAGGCAUUUGAAAGAAUUUUGACUCAGGCUCAUUAACUUAACCUUCAAAAACUGCAGUACCAAAUAAUUGCACUAAGCUGAUGAAAAAAAUGAAUUGUAUGUUUUAGGAAUCAAAAAUUAGGUGGAAUUCAACUGUGUACCUUUUUAAAGCUGAAAUAGUAAAAUAUUUUAUUAUGAGUUAUUGUAAUAAAUGAUUGGUUAAUUGUAUAGGAAGAGGAUAGUAUUUUUUUUUUAAAUUAUCAGUGAAAAGUAAUUCAGAUAACAUUUGAGAAGUGGGAGAAAGGGAACCAUAUUGACAGAUUCAGUUCUAUGAACACUGAUUCAUGCGCAGCUAUGAAAUGAUUGUAAAUUUGACUACUGUAAAUUUUCCAUAAUUAUGUGUGUAUAUUAGUUAUAUGUAUCUACAUGGGUAUGUCUUAAAAUUAUUUAUACACAUGUACAUACAUAGACAAACCACGAAGUAUAUGUGUAUAAUAUAGAAAGUAUAUAGCAAAGCGAUUCUACUCCAAUAAUAAAAAUCAUUUGACAUGUAUUUUGUUAUGAAUAGUUUACCUUCAAAAAAAGAUAUUUUGUUCUAUUUUAAAGUGUAGAAGAAUACACUGCUAAUACAUAAUAAAAGUUUUAUGCAAUU
Molecule: long non-coding RNA, 6228 nt
Filed under: Sus scrofa (pig)
Lineage: Eukaryota; Metazoa; Chordata; Mammalia; Artiodactyla; Suidae
Description: lncRNA (ENSSSCG00005009912.1)
Source: RNAcentral